AGCCAAUCCCAUCAAAAAAUAAUCCAUCUUAUUCUCCACAUUUUUCACCAUUUUCCCCUUUUUAAUUACCCUAAUUAAACCUAUUAAACCCAAAAACCCUAGCUAGGCCAGCCACCUCCUAUUCCUAUAAAUAUACUCCCAUUCUCACUAAAAAGGCACUUCCAACCCUUGCUAAAAUUCUCUAGAAUUCUCAAACACUUUUUCUCUCUAAAUUCUAACUUUGGCAUUAGAGGUUCUUCGGCCAAAGCCCCCCCAUUCAUCGUGGGCGCGUGAGGCUCUUGGCCUUGACCUAAGGUGUUAAUUGUUUUGUAAGUGCAAUUUUG
This 323-nucleotide long non-coding RNA is filed under the name Malus domestica (apple). Its description in RNAcentral is "long non-coding RNA (MDOM_LNC008145)". Lineage: Eukaryota; Viridiplantae; Streptophyta; Magnoliopsida; Rosales; Rosaceae. The record is from RNAcentral.